UCCAGGGUAGCCUAGUGGACAUGGCACCUGCCCGGUAAGCAGAAGGUAUGGGUUCGAUUCCCGCCCCUGGAC
Non-coding RNA from Cordylochernes scorpioides, 72 nucleotides. NCBI's taxonomy places the organism in Eukaryota, Metazoa, Arthropoda, Arachnida, Pseudoscorpiones, Chernetidae. The record is from the annotation of a GenBank genome assembly.